AUAGUAGCGAUAAAAUUUAGGAUGACGCGAGAAACGUGAUUUACGUAAAAUAACUGUAAUUUCAAAAUAAAAAGUAUUUAUUUUGGGCAUACAAAUCUUAUGGAAAUAAUUUUAUAUAGACUUGCGAUAAGAAGGGAUCAAGAUUCUCCAAAAUUUCAUAAAACUCUAUUCCUCGAAUAACAGAUAUGAUACAAAUGCAUGAAAUCAAAUUACAAAAUCUUGUUCAACCACUAAUACGAACAGAAAACAAUCAUUACAGUUUCAUCAUGCUGCGAUCAUUUUUAGGUACAUGCUGCUAUUUCUCUAUAAUCUACUAGCGUUUGCACAAAAAUCCAAGCAAAUUGACGUUCUAACGUGAAGCUUAACGGAUGAAGUUUCAUUUAUAAAAAUCUUCCGAUAGACGAUUUUGAUGUUCAACGACGCACAUAUACGUACAUACAAGCAUCGCAGAUUACAUCACGAAACUAGUUUAACGUUCAAAAGAACCGUUGAGAUAUAGGUGUUUAAUAUUGCGUCAGAUGUUGAAGAGAUCGUAAACGUGUGAACAGAGCUUAAAGGAUCAAGAUAAAGCUGAAUAAGAUGUCGCGUUCUUUAAACAUUUUUACGCUGUUGAACAUUUUAACAAAUACAUUUUAAAGCUUUGCAAUUUCCACUCCGAUCUGUUCAAGUUUAUUAAAAAUUGACAGGGCUACGAGAUAAGAUCGAAAAAUAAUAUAUCUAGUCAAACAAGUCAAACGGAGUCCCAAUUUCCAAGAAUAUUGCGUGAGUCCGCGCGGAUUUAUCGCGAGACGCGCGAGUGCUGGCCUACACUGCGCUACUAAUUCGAUGUUCAAACGCAUCAUUCAAAAAACGCAUUCGGUAGCGCAUAAGAUAGUGCGGGGAGUGUGAACGGGGCCUAAACGGUGGAGCAAACGCGUCGCGUCGGGCGGGCGGACAGGCGGGCAGACAGGCAGACAGACAGAAGCUGGAGCACCUGUCUGUCCCUCCACUCUUCGGUACGGUAAAGAGGGGCCCGGCACUGGAUACACACCUCGUGCCGUGGUUCAGUACUCAGUACCUCGUGCACGUUCACGCUGAUAAGACCUUAUUCUAAUCACACGUCACCUGGCAUCGAUAUAGUCGUGCGCGGACUUUUUACGCGAUUUCUCACGCUCCAUCUGACGCAAUUCCUUCGGUCCUUCGGUCCUUCGGUCCUUCGGUCCUUCGAUCAACGACGUAUUCGCACGCAUUUUGUCCUCACUGGUCUCGUCUCUCUUUCACUCUCUUCUUCCUUCACUUUCUUCCUUCCUCUUUGCCUCGUCCGUUUCGCGUGUAUGAAACUGACGCAGCUGGUGGCACCUUGAUGCAGCGGAUCGCGCGACCCGAUCCAGGAAUUUUCCCGGAUCUUUGGAUCGGUCGAUCGAACACGUCAGCUCGCCCCUAACUCUCUCUUUGCUGCAUCGAACGCAUACGUAAUUACCUUCGCUCGCGCGAUUAUAUCCGCGCGAUCCCUCGAUAGUCACGUACGAUUUGUUCGUAUCACGCUGGAUACGUGCUCGCUGCUCAGCCACGGGAUGUACCGGAGCAACUUGGCCACAUCCCGUGCUCCGAUAUACGAUUCGAUGCCGGCAAAGAUACCGCGAAAGAAUCGUGAUUCGUCGAUUUCCGUACCGACUUGCUUCUCGUGUUGGCAACUUGGAACCGCGGCAACUGGCUUCCGCGGCGAUGGAUCGGCAAUCGAUUCCGUUCCUUGUAUCGUUUAGUCCGCUUCCGACGUUCGGCUACUAACGUUGCUGGCGCUCGGUCGCGCGCGUAUGCUACCAAUCGGCCACGUGUUUUCUCCUACUCGUGCCACAAACAACGUUCGAUCGUGGAUAAAACGUAGAGUGUGUUUCUAACGAUUCGCUUCUUGCCAUUGCGUGUAAAUGUGACGCUGUUAGACGUCACUGAGGAAGGCUGUUGCACUGGAUCCGUCGAAGGUCGAAUAUCGACACCGGACGCGGACAGGAGAAAUUAGGUGAACCGCUCGAGACAGACUUUUUGUUUUUCUCGCCGUGCUCGCGUAGAGAUCGUGUAAGUUCACGUGUACGGAGAAAAAGAACUUGGUCCGCAGUCUACAACAAGAAUUCCGAUGUUACGUAACGGCGGAAUAGAAUGAACGAGCGUUCAACGGGUGACGCUGUUUUUGUGAACUCGAUAAACACCACGUGUCGGAUCGUUGACAUUGAGGAACAGAUUUUGUGUGAUGUUUAUGAUUAAGUUCGACCAGAGAGUACGAGUUCCUCGAAUAGGAAAGGCCAGAGAAUCGUUUAGUGAAAGCGAGAGCGGCGCUAAGUGUUUGUGAAAUCGUGAAACUGCGACACCACGUGUGUGACAUCUAUUACUUGACUUAUGAUAGGUGGAUCGUAAAAUUUACCGUUUCCUUUCUGCUAUGGCCAGAGAACGGCAAGAUUUCUCGACACGCUAGCGCGGUUUUCAUAGAAAAUCUUGUGAUAUUGGCCGAUAUAGGCAGGGCAUUACGUUUCCUCUUCGAUGCAAUUUGUUGGAUUAAUGGCAAGUCAUACGUUCUAUAUGAAAUUGACAUCGGCAGGGAAUGUUAACACGGUGUAAGAAGAAGAGGAAGAAGAAGCAGGCAUUCAGGAAAAUUUAUUUCAAUGCGGAACACACGAACCAGUACUGCUUGUACGCACGGCUGACCUCGAUAGGGCUUUCGCUCGCGUUUAAGGAAGAAUGAAAAGGAAACGAAGGAGCCGAAGGAAACGAGAACUGGUGCGUGCCGUAGCUGAUCCUGCAGCAGUCGCGCGUUUGCGAAGCGCGGCGUGAAAAAAGCCGAGAAAGAAGGAGGAGACCGAGUUUCCGUUAGCAAGACGAGGAGGGAAAUUAAGAUCGGAUCGAAGGGAAAGAGACGGGACAAGGGUGAAAGAGACGACGGAAGAAAGCGCGGUGGAAGGCAGAAGAAGGCGAAGGAAGACUGUGUAAAAUAUAAGGUAAGAGAAGCAAAUAGGCCGGAACGGGACGAGAGAGAAACGAUCGGAGCAGGAUCGGGAACCGAGCGCAGCGACAAGGAAGACGAGGUGGAGGAAUCGUGACACGGGCGCGUGUGCAACAGGCGAUUUCUGAGCGAUUUAUCUUGCCAGGUUUGCAGGUGUUCGCGUGCGUCCUUCGUGGCCUUGUUAACGGGCUUCCUCUUUCUCUAGCCCGCCCCGGAUAGGCUUUUAUCGUUCCUCUACCGGCGACCUUCCUAAAGACACACCGUGCCGUGAAAUAAUAGCACGGUUCAAAAUAGACGGAAAUCAGAGGUCAGAUUCGAGAAGCAGGAAAAGAAGAGGAAUAGAGAGCGAAAGAGCGAUGUUGCUAAUCGCAAGAGGCGAGUGACGUCUCCGUGGAGUUCCAGGGAAUCGGAGGAAAGCGCGGUGACGUACGAACCGGUGCGGAAGACGAAGGAUCGGAGAAAGAACGAGGGAAGAAAGGGGGAGGAGGAGGAGGAGGAGGAGGAGGAGGAGGAAGAAGAGGAGGAGGAGGAGGAGGAGGAAGAGGAAGAAGAAGAAGAAGAAGAAGAAGAAGAAGAAGGAGAAGUUGGAGCAUAGGAGGUAUUACGAAAAAAGGCGAGGACAAGAAAGAAGGAAUACAAGGAGAGACAGAAAGAGAUAGGGGAGUAAAUGCAGUGAAAGAAGGAAAGAAAGGUGAGGAAGACGGCGAAAAGAAAGAGCGCAGGUAGACAGGUAGAACGUAAAAGGGAGAUAGGAGCGAAGUAAGAGAAGGAAUAAGAGGCGGUAUAAGGGAGGAGGAGGAGGAGGAGGGGAGUAGCGCGAAAGAAGAGAGGGAGAAGAAGAGGCGCGUGGUGGUCGUGAUGGUGAGGUAGUGGACGAGAGCGAGCGAGCAUCCAGAUCUGUCGCGUGCUGCGUCGCUCUGGGAUGGGACGGAAUCGGGACGACACGGUACGAAGCGGAACGGGACGAAACGGGACGACGGCUACUACUACAACUACGAGGACGGGAUGGGAUGGAUGCUGCGGGCCCGUGUGAGUAGCGAGUCGAGUCGAUCCCCGCGCGCUGGUAUUGGUUUCACUCUCGGCUGCUGCCGGCCCGUGUGCUGGUGUGUCGAUCUCUCUACGAGAGCGAACCGAGGAGCGUGCCCGAACCGAGCCGGAGAAGAGAACCGCGCCACUCGUUCAGUAGUUUCUCGGACGCCGCACCGCCACCAUCCGACCUGCCAGAUAACCCCGUCGACUUUACCGGACUACCCCCGACCUCCUAAUAAUAACGACACGAACCACGACAUCGCGCGACAAACAUUCGAUCGUUCGGUUUGACGAAUCGCCAACCAUCCGAAUCGAACAGAGCGACGAUUCAUCCGUUUCCAUUCGUCGCCAAAUUUUUCAACUAACUUUGGUGUUUACCGUGAUCGUCGUCAUCAUCGUCGUAGUCAUCAUCGUCGUCGUCGUCGUCGUCGUCGUCGUCGUCGUCGUCAUCGUUGUCGUCGUUGUCGUCGUCGUUUGCCGCAUCUCGCUUCUCCCGGUGUGAGUCGUGAAUCGUAAGACAGAAAAAUCGGCGAGCAGCGCACGCGGUGGUGGAAAAUCGUGGUGGAUCCUUGGAACGACGAUCGGUCACGAGGGAUUCGAAAGUUAUCGCGACUCAUGGUCGCGCGGCAACUCUCCACUGGCGGAUCCACUUUGGCUUUUUCGUUUUCGUCGUUUUAAGUUCGCGUAAAGUAACCGGUGUGGCGUGGUCCAGUGUCACGCGCACGGAGGUCGUUAGCUGUUUUCCUUUUACCCUCGCGUCGUUUUUUGCGCACAUCGCGUUCCGUUCGAUUGUUUGUCAGCAAACCGGGAAGUAGAAGAAUCGCGGUGUGAUAGCGGGUCUUGCCAGGUGUUUCCUCGCGGUGCGUGUUACGAACGUGCGUGCUCGUGGCGAACAACGCGACACGUAUCGGUCGUGCUGUUACUCGUGUGUAGUGUGCACGAGCCAACUUUCGCGAACGUAAUUAUACGUUGCACCGAUUCUUCGGAGUGGUGAGAAACAGAAGAAGAAACAGAAGAAGAAGCAGAAGAAGAAGCAGAAGAAGGAGGAGGAGGAGGAGGAGGAGGAGGAGGAGGAGGAGCAGGAGCAGGAG
Bombus pyrosoma is the source of this 5091-nucleotide long non-coding RNA. RefSeq lists it as uncharacterized. The transcript is spliced from 3 exons. The record is from RefSeq and is a predicted model, not a curated record. Lineage: Eukaryota; Metazoa; Arthropoda; Insecta; Hymenoptera; Apidae.